AUUGAACGCUGGCGGCAGGCCUAACACAUGCAAGUCGAACGGUAACAGGAAGAAGCUUGCUUCUUUGCUGACGAGUGGCGGACGGGUGAGUAAUGUCUGGGAAACUGCCUGAUGGAGGGGGAUAACUACUGGAAACGGUAGCUAAUACCGCAUAACGUCGCAAGCCCAAAAAGGGGGACCUUCGGGCCUCUUGCCAUCGGAUGUGCCCUGAUGGGAUUAGCUAGUAGGUGGGGUAACGGCUCACCUAGGCGACGAUCCCUAGCUGGUCUGAGAGGAUGACCAGCCACACUGGAACUGAGACACGGUCCAGACUCCUACGGGAGGCAGCAGUGGGGAAUAUUGCACAAUGGGCGAAAGCCUGAUGCAGCCAUGCCGCGUGUAUGAAGAAGGCCUUCGGGUUGUAAAGUACUUUCAGCGGGGAGGAAGGGAGUAAAGUUAAUACCUUGGCUCAUUGACGUUACCCGCAGAAGAAGCACCGGCUAACUCCGUG
This 490-nucleotide ribosomal RNA is filed under the name uncultured bacterium. RNAcentral describes it as "partial 16S ribosomal RNA". It matches the Rfam family "Bacterial small subunit ribosomal RNA", at positions 30 to 507 of the family's 1533-position model. The record is from RNAcentral.